RNAcentral lists this ribosomal RNA (324 nucleotides) under uncultured prokaryote. RNAcentral's name for it is "bacterial SSU rRNA". It matches the Rfam family "Bacterial small subunit ribosomal RNA", at positions 26 to 352 of the family's 1533-position model. The record is from RNAcentral.
AGAUUGAACGCUGGCGGCAUGCCUAACACAUGCAAGUCGAGCGGCAGCGCGGGGGCAACCCUGGCGGCGAGCGGCGGACGGGUGAGUAAGGCAUCGGAAUCUGCCCUGAUGUGGGGGAUAACGUAGGGAAACUUACGCUAAUACCGCAUACGACCGAGAGGUGAAAGCGGGGGACCGAAAGGCCUCGCGCAGCAGGAUGAGCCGAUGUCCGAUUAGCUGGUUGGUGGGGUAAAGGCCUACCAAGGCUAUGACGGAUAGCUGGUCUGAGAGGAUGAUCAGCCACAUUGGGACUGCGACACGGCCCAAACUCCUACGGGAGGCAGC